AAGACUGCAGCCAGAGAAAGGGAUGAGAAAUCAAUGCCUAAGUCUCUCCACUUGGGGGGGGGGGGUCAGCAGCAGAAUGAGGGUUGGGGUAGAGUAGCGGGACCUCACCAGCCCCCCCAGAACAUAUACACUCCUGUACACAGGCAGCCACAGGAGGUCAGCUGCUUACAGAAGAGGGAGGCCGGUCCAGGGUGGGAGCAGAGGGUACCCUCUAUGUCAGCACACUGGGGACCCUAAGACAGAGAAGAGGUUGGGGAGACUUCUCCAAGCCUAGGGGCUUUUCCGUCAGAUUUCCGAGAGUUGUUGGGCACCCCACCUAGCACACAGUGGGGGGCUGACUCCUUGCCCAGCAGCAGCCUGACAGCCGUGCCCAGUUAGGCGCGUAGGGGACUCAGCCAAGCCCAUGUUCCGGCCCCCGCCCCCAGCAGACACACAUCUGGCUAGCAGCUUCCAAGCCUCGUGGGUAGCACCCGGUCCCAGACAUGCUCAGCAGAGCAAGGUCGGCCAGUCUGCUCCUCCGCCUCCACUCACCCCAAAAGGCUUCCACAACCCCACGCAGCACAAGACCCGGGGACACCCCACCCAACGGCACCAGCUCGCACCCCGCACCCCAAUCUCCGCCCGCCUCCACGGGGGCACCAGCUGAGCGGGCCCCGCCCCCCAGCCUGUCCCUCCGGUGUUGGGGGAGCAGGCGGGUUCUCCCCCAAACCACGGAGCGGCUCAGCCCAGGUUGAAACUGAACUCAUGGAGAUCCUCCUGCCUCAGACCCCCAAGCACUGGGAUUACAGGCGUGGCCAGCGAUCGGGACAGGGGCUGUGCCCUCUGCCUACAGGCGCCCCCUGGUGAAGACAGGCGGGCUUUAGCAUCCCCACGGGGCUGGGCCCGCUCCUGCCCCUCUCCACUGCCCACCCCCAUCUCGCCGGACCCUGCUCCCGUGGCAACAAGCUGGUGAGACCCCUGGGCCGCUCUGCCCCCUGCCCACCACUCACCACCCCCUCUCCUACCUGCCCCACCUCCUCCUGCCACCCAGGUUGUACCGGGGCGCGAGUCUCCUUUAACGUGUCCUGGCAGCACCCCUGCCCCGGCCCCACGCCCCACGUACACACACAUGCGCUCACACACGCUUCUGCCAGCCGCACGCUGCCAGCAGCUGCCAGAGCUGUUGAGCAGGAGGGAGCCCGGGAGGGUGGGGUGCAGGGAUUGGGUUUCCAGCUCCGAGGGGGUGGGCCGUCACCCAAUCCCUUCUCCCUCCCGCGGCCUCCCUCCAGCCUCUGGCAGGCAGCCCACUACCCUUGGAGCCCGGCCCCCACCCCCAGUCCACCUAGUGUAGGAAGUAAGCGUUGGAGAGUAUUUGUCAUGCGGAGACCAGCCCAGGAGAGGAGAGAAGCAGCAAGGCGGAGACAGACAGACAGACAGACAAACAGACGGGAUUCCUGUGCUCUGUGCUCCAGCUGCAACCAACCACUAGUUCUCUCCCACAGCACCCACCCCUGCCUCCAGGCCUCAGAGAAGGGAUCCCUUUGGACCAGGAAUCAGAAGCCCAGAGCCUGAGCUGGCCGAGGUAAACCACACCUGUGAUCCCAGCACUGAGGAGGCUGAGGCAAGAGGAUCACCACAAGUUUGAGGCCAGUUUACCCUACAUAGUGAGUUGAAGCCCAGCCUGGCCUACAGAGCGAGACCCAAAACAAACUAACAAAUAAACCUGUCCUGUCUCCCUGCC
Long non-coding RNA from Heterocephalus glaber (naked mole-rat), 1720 nucleotides. The record is from Ensembl. Lineage: Eukaryota; Metazoa; Chordata; Mammalia; Rodentia; Bathyergidae.